RNAcentral lists this ribosomal RNA (231 nucleotides) under uncultured bacterium. RNAcentral's name for it is "partial 16S ribosomal RNA". It matches the Rfam family "Bacterial small subunit ribosomal RNA", at positions 103 to 334 of the family's 1533-position model. The record is from RNAcentral.
CGGGUGAGUAACACGUAUCCAACCUGCCGUCUACUCUUGGACAGCCUUCUGAAAGGAAGAUUAAUACAAGAUGGCAUCAUGAGUCCGCAUGUUCACAUGAUUAAAGGUAUUCCGGUAGACGAUGGGGAUGCGUUCCAUUAGAUAGUAGGCGGGGUAACGACCCACCUAGUCUUCGAUGGAUAGGGGUUCUGAGAGGAAGGUCCCCCACAUUGGAACUGAGACACGGCCCAG